UUUUAUUUCAUUUCUAAUCAAUUAAUUGGACAUUACUUACAUCAAGAAAUUUUUUCCUCUUACAUCAAAUCUAAAUAAUCUCAAAUGAAUCCCCAAUUUCUUGGAUGUAUUUUAAGAAAAUAUUUUCUUAGACAAAAAAAAAGUUAUUUUGCUAAUAAGAGUAAUAUUCUAAAUUCGAGAAUACAUUUUUUAUGGCAACAUUUUGCUUUGUCAUUUUCAAUCAUGUCGUGACAUGUUGAAAACGCGCGCGCUCCGUCUCCGUGGCCGUGGUAUCUGCGAUUGAAGAAGCCAUCCAUAAAUCAAUAGCCAAUUAUUUAAAAUGUGAAGCAAAGUGAACUAUACUUACUUAGUUUUACUUGAAAUCUUAAAAAGGUAAGGCAAGGAGAAUAAAAUCUUAAAAAGGAACUGAUUUUUCUAUUUGUUGUUUGUGGAAACAGUAAUGGAUUCGUUGAAAGAACUUUUGGAAUCGUGGAAUAUACCACAACUUGUAGUGACCAAUUUUAUUGAGAAUGGUAUAAUGAUUGAACAUUUUCCCAAAUUAAAACUAGACAAUUUGAAAGAAUUAUGCCCACAUAUGGGGACUAGACUAUCUUUAGAGGAAAAGAUAGGGGAGCUUAUUACUGCACAGGCAACGACGGAUGCAGUAUCUGAAUCAACUGAUGAUCAAGUCAUUAUUACUCCCACCUCCAGUAAAUUUGAGACAAGCACCAGUGAUUGUUUAUUUUUAUUAGUUUUUUACCAGUUUAUUAGUUUCAUUAGAUGAACUACAAGUGGUCGACAUCUUGGAAACAACCAAAAGUGUAUCUAGAAAAACAUUUCCACAUUUUGAUUUGGAGACACUACUGCAUACGUCAGCAGGUGGCAAUAGUAUUUUAAAAUACUAUGAAACAUAUGGUUUUCUCAAUAAUACCAAGAGAAACCAGUUGACCGAUAUAAUUACACAUACAUUGUCAAUUACCGGAUAACCUAUGAAGAAUAUAAUAUUAUAUCUGCGAAAAUAAUAUCACUGUUUCCAAAGGAGUCAAUAGGCACUUAUUUUACCAAACCUAUAAAAAAAAAAUUCAUUUAAUGGACGUUCUACGGUAGCACGAGGAAAAUUGGUGGGCAAAGUCCGUAACCUUCUGUAUAAAUAUGGAGACCACACACAAGCGACAAUCUGGCACUCUAGAAAAUGCUCCACCGUUUAAAAGACAGUAUAUUCAAGGUUUGCAAGGUAAUUUUUUUUUAAAUAGGCUUGCAAGCAAACCCACUGACUUUCACUGGGUUAAAGCAAUUUAUGAACCUAUUUAGGUAUUUGAGAGUAGGUAUUCUAAGUCGCAUCAUUCUGGGUUUUUAAUACAGGUAAAUGUAACUGUAAAUCCACUGUAAGUGGGCCCCAUUUACAGUGGUCCAAAAAUUUUUCUACAUAGAGGAGUAACAACCCAUUUAAAAUAAACAUUAGUUUAGCAAAAAUCAAUAGCUUAAGUUAUGAUUUUUUUAUGUACUUUCUUGAAAAUUUUCUACUCUAGUCAAAAGUUUAAAACUAGUCUAUUUUGAAAAUUAUUCCACUAAAUUAAUUGAAAUUUGGUAUUAAAGUAGUAGUAACCAUGUAGCUAGCAUGCAAUGAACCAUUUUUGUGUUUGUUCUUAGAUUGCUCCGUUAUUUUUUAGACAAUUCAUGUUCAUGAGUUUCUACAAUUUUAACUCUCUAAUGGUCAUAAUGUACACAAAAAGAAAAUGUUUAAAAACAUAUAGAGAACUUCUGAUAAAUAGAUAGGUUUGAGAAUAAUUUCAUGUAAAUCUGAGCUGAACCAAUGUUUUCUUUUGAGAAAUUAAGUUAAAAUUGUUUGAAUAACGAUUAUGAUACUGGUGGUGGUUUUAAUGACUAGAAUAGAAAAUAUUGAAAAAGUAUGGAUGGCAACGUAUCAAGUUACACAUUGACGUAUCUUGUUCCGUUGCACUGGAGGCGAUUUUCAAAUAAAAAUGUG
This is a long non-coding RNA of Hyposmocoma kahamanoa, 1966 nucleotides long. RefSeq lists it as uncharacterized. The transcript has 4 exons. The record is from RefSeq and is a predicted model, not a curated record. NCBI's taxonomy places the organism in Eukaryota, Metazoa, Arthropoda, Insecta, Lepidoptera, Cosmopterigidae.